AUGGCCGGCGCGCUGGGCAGGGGGGCGGCGGGCUGGCGGCUGCGGAGCGCGGCGGGCGGCAGGAAGGAGAAGCCGCCGGGCGGCAAGCCCCAGCCGCCACCGCACGAAAAUAUGAAGAAGCCCUGGAGCCCUGACUUACCAGCUGAUAACCACUUGUAUAAUUCAGAUUUCACAUCCAUCCCAGGCAGAGAAAGUGAGAAAGAAUUAGCACCUGAUGGCACUGAAGAAAAGAAGGAGAGAGAAAAGAAACAGACCAAUUUCACUUUGUGCAAUGUUUGUAACAUUCAGCUGAACUCUGCUGCUCAGGCACAAAUCCACUACAAUGGCAAAUCCCAUCAGAAGAGGUUAAAACAGCUCAGCAAUGGAAAUCUCAAAAGUGAUAAUGGACACAUGAAUCUUCUGCUAUGCACAGGUUUCAACAUAUGGCUUUCCUCAGUAAUUCUGCAGAUGCUCCUAAGGUUUAGAACUUAUUAUAUCUUCAUCUCUGGAGUUGAUAGCUUUCUUCUUCAUAUUUUUAAUUUUUGUUUUUAAUUGAUUACAGAGAAUCCAGCAAUCCUAAUUUGAUCAUUUUUCACAUGGAAAAAUGCUCUUGUUUUAUAAAACUUGUAAGUCUAUACCUAUAGGAAUAUGAGAAAAGACACAAUGAGCUUUGAUAAAUUCAGGACAAAAUUUACCUACAUAGUAAGACUUGUACUUAAAUACUUACAUAUAAAAAUACCUAAAUAAGGUAUUGGUUUGUGAGCCAAAUGUGGUUCUUUGUUGUUCUUUUUUUGAAGGUAUAUCUGUAUAUCUGCAAUUAUCCCAGGACGAGAAAUUCACAAAGGGUUCUCAUCUAUCUGAGGAAUAUUAACAUAGUCAUCAUCUAUAUGAGGAGAACUGUCAUUAUAUAUGCCCUCACAGAGAUUAAUAAUUAACUUACUGAAAGAGAUUAAAAUUGCAUAGUACAAUUUCUGGAUGAAAACCCCUGUCAGUUACUGGAAUGUGUAGGUAUGUUCUUUCUUUGUGCCUGGCUUCUGUUUCUGUCGUGUAACUUAUUUCCUUAAGCUAUAGAAAGAACACACACACACACCUCCUUUGUAGUGAAAAUACAUUUUAGCUGUUUAGGUGAUGUUUUGGCUACUAGUAUCUUCCUGUUGUGCUUUAUAUACCUAAUCUGUUAUUUUCAUCAGAAACUAGUUUUCAGGCAGUACUGUCAAUCUGAAGUUGCCUUUAGAAGUCAUGGGAUUCAGUCAAAUAUCCAUGAUAAGCAACUGACUUUCUUUAUAAAUACUCACCUUAAUUACUAUUUACAAUUGAAAUAGAUUGCAGAUAUCAGUGAAUGUUGAGAUAAUUAUUUUAAUUAUUGUUGAUUAUUGUUUGUAAUGAUGAUGGACCACACAAUAGUGAUUUAUGGCUGGGCAGAUUAAUACUACAACUAGAAUUGUCAUUUCAGACAAUUUAAAAAAAGGCUUAACAAUUGCAGAACCUAUUUGUGAUGUUGCUUUUUAUAUUAAAGUUGGUUAUAAUCAUUUUUAUGUGAAGCAUUUAGAAGUACUACUUUAAACUGCAGUUUAAAAUAAUUAGCUCUAGGUUGAAGAAAAAAUCAGAAUUCCCUCAUCUAUUAUUAAAAAAAAAAAAAAAUGCUCUUAUCCAGCAAAACUAUAAAUUGAUCAGUAACUACUGCUUUUGUUAAUAAUCCCACUGAUUUCAACAGGUUGUCUCUUAGAAAUAAGCAUAUAUACAGUAAUAAGCCUGUACAUACAACCUGCAUCCCUAUGUGGCAUAUGGAGUAAAGUAUAACUUGAACCAUUCCCACUGAAAACUCUCUUAAAAUUAAUCAUUAAAUAUUAUUUGGAGUUCUUGAAAGUUGCAAUGGUAUUGUGCCUGUACACAAAGCAUUUCCAAAAAUAGCAUCAUUAUUUUUUCUCUGAAUGAUGCAGGAGCUCACAUGCAAAAAUCUUAAUUUGGAUUGAGUGUAACUUGUUUGUUUAGUCUGUUAGAAGAUUUUUAGUUUGGAUUUUGGGGGGAGGGAGGAGUAGUUAAUCAGUUCAGUAAGUCAGAAAGUGGUUUAUACUCUUAGUAGUAUGCUUGAAGAGCAUAUUUUUAUUCCUGAAAAAAGGUAAAUUUUGACCCAAACAGCAGUGUGACUGUUUUUGAUGGAGUCAGGUUUGGCACCAUGAUGGAAGUGGUAUAAUGUCUUAUGAAAUACACCUACCUCGUCACAGAGCUGUUGGCUGCAUUUUGUAGUGCAAACUAAAACUAGAAAGCAGUUGGCAUACUUCAUUCAUUUAUAUGGCAUUAUCAGAUGCGGUUGAUGAAAUGUAACAGCCUAAAUAUCCUUCUUUUCACAAUACUAUAAUUGAUUAUCCAUUUGUCAAAAAGUGGGUAAGGCUGAUGUGAAUAAAUAAAAUUCCACUACCUUCUGAAUAACAUAUUUUAAAAUUGACCCCCCUGCCUGUUUGUAGCUCCAAUAAGGACACCCAGACCUGGAACAGCUUUAUUUAUUUAUUUAUUUUUUUGGAUGUGAGUCACUGAUUGUGCCACUUUUUGAGUUGAUCUGCUUAUGUGGCUCUUCAUAUUAAGAUCACUAUAUUCAGCUUGUAGAGAUUAUCCCAUUAUUAUAGUCAACUGAAAGGUAAGAAGCUAGAAAGCUUAAAAAUACCAAGGAAUACACACAAUUAAAAUUGUGGAAGCUUAGGAAAAUCCUCCCAAGAAACAUGAACAUUCUUUGUGCUUUUUUCUUCUCUUUAAAAUCCUUUUAAGUCUGUAGUUUCUUGGCCUAAGAUAGUUUUGUUCCAGCUUAAUAUGAAGAAUGCUAUGCCAUUAAAUCUUCAGUUUCUCUGAAACUUGACAUGAAACAUGGACAUUACCCUGUAUCUUUUUUUUUCUGAAUGCACGUUAAGUCAAUUGCUUUGACACUUCUUUUAACAUAAAAAUAUCACAGUAAUUCAUAAUGAAAGCCAUAUUUGUAGAACUGUGAUAUUGCUGUGUUCAUACAGUUCUUGCACCUCUGAAUUUAAACUUUUUUUUUUUUUAUAGCAUUACUUUAAAACUUCACAUUGACUUUAUGAAAUUGAUCUACGUUUAUGGAAGAAAAAAGUGUUUAUAAUUUAGCAUUGUUUUUGUUAUUCUUACAGUCAAACUUUAUUUUAUUUUGUAAAAUACUAUUUUGCUAUGGUUCAUUUGUCUUAGCACUCCUACUACUUUUGUCUGUAGAAAACAUUCAUUGUGACAGCAUCACAAAAAAAAAAUUCAAUUUAUAUACUAGAAAAUUGUCUGUGUUUUCAUUAAAAAAAUGCCCUAUACUUUUAUAUUUUUAUGUCAUAUUUGAAAUGUGUUUAAUAUUUCUUUUGUUGUUGUUGUUAAUGGUAGGUAUAUACUGUGCUAAUGAAAUAAAAGUGUUCCUUUUACUCUUUUAAUAACAUCAAAAUUUUAAAUAGCUUUUCAAAUUUGAAGGCAUAUGAUUUGCUUUAAUUUGGUGCCCUGAAUUUUGCAUUCUACUGGUUAAGCAGCAGACCUACAAUUAUCUGAUAGAGGCUGCCUUCUUGACAUUUUCCGGCUUAUUUUUUAUCCUCAAGUAGAGCUCUGUAUUUUGCAUAAGCUUUAGGUAAUCAUGUAAACUAGUUGCAUCAUUGAAAUAUUUUUAUUUCAAAUUCAAAUACAUUGAGGACUGCACAUAUGAUCUUAAAAUAAUUUUUGUAAAUCUUCUCAUGUGUCUCUUUAUGUGAUUUAAAUUGUUCUUGGAUCUAUUUUCCUCAUCUACUCUAUUGAAGCGUAAACUAUUUAAAUUCAAAUAUUUAAAAGUACUGUGAGCCACUUUGUAUAUAUCUGCCCAAGCUUAAGUAUUGACAUAGUGUAUGAUAUUUAAUCCAUACUUUUUUUUCUUCCCUUUGUGGUAUACAGUGCAGUUUCACUCCCAUGUUAUUUUCAGCAUUAGGUGGAAAUUUUGUGAACAGUUCUACAACAGCAGAGCAACGGGACUCUUCCAUACAAUCAGUUGAUUAUUUUUAUGUGUUGGAAGGUUUGGUGUUCUCAGUGGUGAGAGUUUCUGGAACAGUUUUCUCUGCAAAUGCCAAGUGCACUCAAAAAUGACUUAUAGUCUUUCUUAAGGAUUAAUGUUAACCACUAGUGAAUAACUGUUUUUCUUCAGAUCCUGGUGAAUAGCAAAGCUGCUGUUGGAUUUCUUAUAGGACCAAAAUGCAGAUCUACUAAACUGUCAGGUACAAUAAAUGCUAGCUGUAGAUCAUACUUUAUUCAGCUUAGGCCAAUGCAUUUGAUGUAUAAUAUAGUACCAUAGGUUGUGCAUGCACAGAACAUUUUACAGAUGAGUAUUUGUCUCUCUUCUUUAGCUGUCAGCAUAGA
Molecule: long non-coding RNA, 4341 nt
Filed under: Cairina moschata (Muscovy duck)
Lineage: Eukaryota; Metazoa; Chordata; Aves; Anseriformes; Anatidae
Description: domestica (muscovy Duck (domestic type)) lncRNA (ENSCMMG00000011425.1)
Source: RNAcentral